UCCCAGACUCCUACGGGAGGCAGCAGUGGGGAAUAUUGCACAAUGGGGGAAACCCUGAUGCAGCAACGCCGCGUGAGUGAGGAAGUAUUUCGGUAUGUAAAGCUCUAUCAGCAGGGAAGAAGAUGACGGUACCUGACUAAGAAGCCCCGGCUAACUACGUGCCAGCAGCCGCGGUAAUACGUAGGGGGCAAGCGUUAUCCGGAUUUACUGGGUGUAAAGGGAGCGUAGACGGCGGCGCAAGCCAGAUGUGAAAGCCCGGGGCUCAACUCCGGGACUGCAUUUGGAACUGUGUGGCUGGAGUGUCGGAGAGGCAGGCGGAAUUCCUAGUGUAGCGGUGAAAUGCGUAGAUAUUAGGAGGAACACCAGUGGCGAAGGCGGCCUGCUGGACGAUGACUGACGUUGAGGCUCGAAAGCGUGGGGAGCAAACAGGAUUAGAUACCCUUGUA
RNAcentral lists this ribosomal RNA (446 nucleotides) under uncultured bacterium. RNAcentral's name for it is "bacterial SSU rRNA". It matches the Rfam family "Bacterial small subunit ribosomal RNA", at positions 329 to 792 of the family's 1533-position model. The record is from RNAcentral.